UAGUAACAACAAUACGACUAUACUACGACUACUACAGUGUUGAAAACCCUAAAUCGAAUCAUUUCUCAUUCCUAACACUUAGCCAAAUUUUUCUUCGAUCUCGAACUCUCUUCUUCGUCUUCUUCCUCUCAAACCCUAAAGAUCUUCGAUCUGUUUAUCUUCUUCUUCGAUCUUCUUUAAACUUCUUCUAUCUUCUUCCAUCUUCUCCAUCUCUUGAUCUCUCUAUCUCUCUCACUUGUCUCGAUCUCUCUAUCUCUCAAUCUCUCGAUCUCUCGAUCUUCUUCUUCUUUGAUCUCUAUAAAUCUUCUUCAUCUCUUCAAUCUGCAUAUCUUAUCU
RNAcentral lists this small RNA (336 nucleotides) under Arabidopsis thaliana (thale cress). RNAcentral describes it as "ATSL264610". Lineage: Eukaryota; Viridiplantae; Streptophyta; Magnoliopsida; Brassicales; Brassicaceae. The record is from RNAcentral.